This 2036-nucleotide long non-coding RNA is filed under the name Rattus norvegicus (Norway rat). RNAcentral's name for it is "long non-coding RNA NONRATT029759". Lineage: Eukaryota; Metazoa; Chordata; Mammalia; Rodentia; Muridae. The record is from RNAcentral.
AUGCUUGCAAGGCAAAUGCUUUACCCACUGAGCCAUUUGCUCAGCUCACCAUUUAAGGAUACUUUCCUGCUUUCAUAGUUGCUAGCUUAUAAAUUAUCUAAUUUCAAGCACUAAUGCUCCCAAUUUCCUAGGAUGUGUGAAUAUGUGGACCAUCUGCAUGAACAUUUCAAAUAUCCCAUGGUGAUCAAACAUGCUUCAUAUCUGCCUCCCAAGGUAAGCUGAAGCCUAGGACAUGUUGGAGAUGUGCUGUCAGAAGCCAUUGUGUCUCUGAAAGAAUUGAUUUUCAAUAACAAAUGGUUGAUGAAUAAUGAGUAUCAACGAAGGUCAGAGUACAGCUAGCUUUAUGUCAACUUGGCACAAGCUAGAUUCAUUAUGGAAGAGGGAACCUCAAUUGAGAAAAUGUCAAGACUGGCCUGUGGGCAAGACUAUGAUGCAUUUUAAUUGACGUUGAUAUGGGUGUGCCCAGCUUACUGGGGGACAGUGUAUAGAGUCCUAGAUGAUAUAAGGUGGACCCACCCCUGGACAGGUAUAGUCCACAAUGUAAGAUAAACUAAGGAAGCCACGAAGAACAAGGCAGUAAGUAACAUUGUUCAGUGGCCUCUGCCUAAGUUCCUGCUCUGAUUUCCCUUGGUGUGGAGUUGACCUGAGAUGUAAGCUGACAUAAAUCAUCUCCUCGAGGUGCUUUUUGGUCAUCUUUAUCACAAUAGAAAUCUUAAGACAGAGCUAUUGUCAUAUUCCCAGUUGCUGAGCCCUUAAAACACACAUUCCUUCUUCCCAAAGGCCAACAGCAUCUACACAUCAAUGACCUGGGCCUUUUAUCCAGAUUAUGGCUCAUUUGCACCAAACAGAUAUUAAGCUACUAAAGUUUUAGUUUCACUUACAAUCCAGGUAAGUAGCCAAUAAAGUAUGACCUUCCAUCUUCUUUCAAACAAAAACCUUUGCAUAUUAAAAUUUAAAAAUAUUUUUAUGUAUGUGAGUACACUGUAGCUGUCCUCAGACACACCAGAAGAGGGCAUCGGAUCCCAUUACAGAUGGUUGUGAGCCACCAUGUGGUUGCUGGGAAUUGAACUCAGGACCUCUGGAAGAGCAGUCAGUGCUCUUAACCGCUGAGCCGCUCCUAAAGUUUUAUUUUUAAUUACAUGUAUGUCGGUAGGCGCCCAUGAUGGACAAAUGAGGGAAUCUCCUGGAACUGGAAUUACAAAAGGUUGCUUGACAUAGGUGCUGGGAACCACCCCGGUGUUUUACAAGAGCAGCAAGUGCUCUCAACUGCUGAACCAUCUCUCCAGCCCCCAAACUUAAUUUCUUAAAUACUGAAUUACCUCUUGAUUAGAGGUAGAAGAAACCAGUGUUAACACGUGUCAAUCUGUCUCUGCUAGGAUGCAGGCUUCUCAACAAAAAUGAAGAAUCUGUGAAACUUCUUGCUGCUCAAGAAUUAUGUGUUCAGCCCUAACACUUUUUUUCUGAAGUGAAAUGCUUCAUGCUUUUAGUGUUCUUUAAAAAUCUUUGUCAAGUGCUAUACUUUUGAAAACUAUGCAACAUUUCAUAAUUCCUCAUUCGAAUACUUGUUAUAAAUCAGAAAAAACUGGUUCUGCAGUACUGUGAGCAAUAAAAAGGAUCCACUGAUUUGUCCUGAAAUGGUUUAGAAUCCUGUUAUCAGUCAUGCCCCACUGAAAUUAAUGGGAACAAAUUGUAUUUCUUCACACUGCAAAACUCUUACAAAACUGUCUUAGCUAGGCAUUGGAGCUCCCAGUUAUAAUCCCAGCAUGCAGAAGCUGGAGUUUUGCAACAAGUUUGAGGCUAGCAUACUGAGUGCCAGGACUAAAGUUUGAGACACAUCCUCCAUACCACCUCCCUCAAACAAAACUUAAAACGUGAUUUAAACAAUAUCUGGUGAUGGUUAACAUAUUUACAUGCCUCUAGCAUGUAAACUCUUAGCUUAUACAGACUGUACUCUGACUACUUUCCUUUUUUUAACCAGAUGUUUAGUCUAUUAAGCUGACUGAUCUUAUAAAAUUUGCUGUUCUAGCAAGAUAAAA